GACGAACGCUGGCGGCGUGCUUAACACAUGCCAGUCGAACGGAAAGGCCCCUUUGGGGGUACUCGAGUGGCGAACGGGUGAGUAACACGUGAGUAACCUGCCCUUGACUUCGGGAUAACUUCAGGAAACUGGGGCUAAUACCGGAUAGGAAUCCUUGCUGCAUGGUGGGGGUUGGAAAGCUUCGGCGGUUUUGGAUGGACUCGCGGCUUAUCAGCUUGUUGGUGGGGUAGUGGCUUACCAAGGCUUUGACGGGUAGCCGGCCUGAGAGGGCGACCGGCCACAUUGGGACUGAGAUACGGCCCAGACGCCUACGGGAGGCAGCAGUGGGGAAUAUUGCACAAUGGGCGGAAGCCUUAUGCAGCAACGCCGCGUGCGGGAUGACGGCCUUCGGGUUGUAAACCGCUUUCAGCAGGGGCGAAGCUUUUGUGACGGUACCUGCAGAAGAAGCACCGGCUAACUACGUG
Molecule: ribosomal RNA, 464 nt
Filed under: uncultured bacterium
Lineage: Bacteria
Description: partial 16S ribosomal RNA
Rfam family: Bacterial small subunit ribosomal RNA
Source: RNAcentral